GUGGACUCUGAAGAGGCUCAGGCAAGCUUGAAGUGGACUGCCAAUGGCGUAGUUUGGCAUCAUGGCACCAUCGAAGUCGAAAUCAGCAAGGUAGACAAAGCAAGAAGGAUUCAAGUGAUGGCGUUUAGCUCCGGCGUGUUCGGUCUUUACCGACAAAAGGUCACGAUCGGCUCUCUCUCGACGUACGGGCCCUGGCAAAGAUCCAGUAAUCCCCGACGAUCGCUCUACCGACGUGUUUCUUCCUCCCGACGUACGGCACCCGACACGACCGGAUACCCGACGACCAAUCAUCGACAUACCCGAGAUUCCUCCCUCGUCCUCGACAUCAUCAACAUCGGUGGCAACGACCUCUUCACAAAAGCUCAGUCAACACCACGAUCAGUUUCUUGUGAGCAAACUCAUGUUGUUCGACCCACCUUGAGUUUGAGGGGGCAUGUUAAUGUAUACAGAUCUGUGGUGUAGGUAACAAUAAUGUGGUGGCUCCUAGCAC
This 490-nucleotide unclassified non-coding RNA is filed under the name Hevea brasiliensis (rubber tree). Lineage: Eukaryota; Viridiplantae; Streptophyta; Magnoliopsida; Malpighiales; Euphorbiaceae. The record is from RNAcentral.